Molecule: ribosomal RNA, 668 nt
Filed under: Mucor hiemalis
Lineage: Eukaryota; Fungi; Mucoromycota; Mucoromycetes; Mucorales; Mucoraceae
Description: eukaryotic LSU rRNA
Rfam family: Eukaryotic large subunit ribosomal RNA
Source: RNAcentral
GCAUAUCAAUAAGCGGAGGAAAAGAAAAUAACAAUGAUUUCCCUAGUAACGGCGAGUGAAGAGGAAAGAGCUCAAAGUUGGAACCUGUUUGGCUUAGCUAAACCGGAUUGUAAACUGUAGAAGUGUUUUCCAGACACGCCUGGUAAAAAAGUCCUUUGGAACAGGGCAUCAUAGAGGGUGAGAAUCCCGUCAUUGGCCAGAGCUGUUGUCUUUUGUGAUACAUUUUCAAAGAGUCAGGUUGUUUGGGAAUGCAGCCUAAAUUGGGUGGUAAAUCUCACCUAAAGCUAAAUAUUUGCGAGAGACCGAUAGCGAACAAGUACCGUGAGGGAAAGAUGAAAAGAACUUUGAAAAGAGAGUUAAACAGUAUGUGAAAUUGUUAAAAGGGAACCGUUUGGAGCCAGACUGGCUUAACNGUAAUCAAUCUAGGCUUUGGCCGGGAUGCACUUGCGGUUUAUGCCGGCCAACGACAGUUUUGUUUGAGGGAAAAAAUUACAUUGAAUGUGGCCCUUCGGGGUGUUAUAGCUUUGUAAAAAAUACCUUGGACUGGACUGAGGAACGCAGUGAAUGCCUUUAGGCAAGAUUGCUGGGUGCUUUCGCUAAUAAAUGCUAGAAUUUCUGCUUCGGGUGGUGCUAGUGUUUAAAGGAGGAACUCGCUUAGUAUAUUUUAU